GGCUAAAUACUCCUGACUGACCGAUAGUGAACCAGUACCGUGAGGGAAAGGCGAAAAGAACCCCGGCGAGGGGAGUGAAAAAGAACCUGAAACCGUGUACGUACAAGCAGUGGGAGCCCCACCACUAAGCCAGUGGUGAACUCCACAUCCGCAUCCUUUGCUGAGGAUACGGUUAACGGAGCGAAAGCGACGUUCAACCGCAAAACAAGCAGAGGGGGCUUAGUGGUGGGGUGACUGCGUACCUUUUGUAUAAUGGGUCAGCGACUUAUAUUCUGUAGCAAGGUUAACCGAAUAGGGGAGCCGGAGGGAAACCGAGUCUUAAUUGGGCGUUAAGUUGCAGGGUAUAGACCCGAAACCCGGUGAUCUAGCCAUGGGCAGGUUGAAGGUUGGGUAACACUAACUGGAGGACCGAACCGACUAAUGUUGAAAAAUUAGCGGAUGACCUGUGGCUGGGGGUGAAAGGCCAAUCAAACCGGGAGAUAGCUGGUUCUCCCCGAAAGCUAUUUAGGUAGCGCCUCGUGAAUUCAUCUCCGGGGGUAGAGCACUGUUUCGGCUAGGGGGCCAUCCCGGCUUACCAACCCGAUGCAAACUGCGAAUACCGGAGAAUGUUAUCACGGGAGACACACGGCGGGUGCUAACGUCCGUCGUGAAGAGGGAAACAACCCAGACCGCCAGCUAAGGUCCCAAAGUCAUGGUUAAGUGGGAAACGAUGUGGGAAGGCCCAGACAGCCAGGAUGUUGGCUUAGAAGCAGCCAUCAUUUAAAGAAAGCGUAAUAGCUCACUGGUCGAGUCGGCCUGCGCGGAAGAUGUAACGGGGCUAAACCAUGCACCGAAGCUGCGGCAGCGAACGUAUCACCCAAGACAACUUUACGGAGUUGACGAUUGACGGAGCGAAGCGACGUCAAAGCGUUCAUUAAAGUCGAGUUGGCUUAGGGAUACGUUCGUUGGGUAGGGGAGCGUUCUGUAAGCCUGUGAAGGUGUGUCGUGAGGCAUGCUGGAGGUAUCAGAAGUGCGAAUGCUGACAUAAGUAACGAUAAAGCGGGUGAAA
Molecule: ribosomal RNA, 1048 nt
Filed under: Salmonella enterica subsp. enterica serovar Typhimurium
Lineage: Bacteria; Pseudomonadati; Pseudomonadota; Gammaproteobacteria; Enterobacterales; Enterobacteriaceae
Description: partial 23S ribosomal RNA
Rfam family: Bacterial large subunit ribosomal RNA
Source: RNAcentral